Molecule: ribosomal RNA, 247 nt
Filed under: uncultured bacterium
Lineage: Bacteria
Description: partial 16S ribosomal RNA
Rfam family: Bacterial small subunit ribosomal RNA
Source: RNAcentral
GAUCCUGGCUCAGGAUGAACGCUGGCGGCGUGCCUAACACAUGCAAGUCGAGCGGAGAAACUUUUAAAUGAAACUUCGGUCGAAUUUAAAAGCGGAAAGCGGCGGACGGGUGAGUAACGCGUAGGCAACCUGCCCUUUGCAGAGGGAUAGCAUCUGGAAACGGAUAUUAAUACCUCAUAAUACUAAACUAUCACAUGAUAGAGUAGUCAAAGAUUUAUCGGCAAAGGAUGGGCCUGCGUCUGAUUAG